CCCAGCACUCGGGAGGCUGAGACAGGAGGAUGGCAUGAGCCUGAGGCCAGUCCUGGGCGACACAGUGAGACCUUGUCUCCAAGAAAACAAGCAAAACAAAAGGCUGCUGGCCACAGUGCCAUGCCCACCUCCAAACGCAUGGCCAGAAGGUGAAACUGAAGACCUGGGCCCCUCCGCCCGGUUGGCUUUGUCCCCUUCUUUUCCUGGUGACAGCCUUUUCCUUUGGCGUCCUCCGUUUGUGUUUCUGGCGUGUCUCUCAUGGGCCAGUGCAGCCACGCUAAUGAGCGGCCCCCCAGCCCGAGUAGCCCCCGUCACCACCUGAGCAGUGCUGUCCCCGAGACCCAGCCCACUGCUCCUCCACCCUAACUGUGCCUUCCCCGUCCAGACUCCCCGCGCCACUUCUGGUGGUAUCACCUGGUCUGCUGGCUGCUGAGCGCUGCCGGCAUCCUCUGCAUCCUCGUGGCGCACAAGCACUACACGGUGGACGUGAUCGGUUGCCUAUUACAUCACCACGAGGCUGUUCUGGUGGUACCACUCCAUGGCCAACGAGAAGAACCUGAAGGUCUCCUCACACACGAACUUCCUGUCCCGAGCCUGGUGGUUUCCUGUCUUCCAUUUCUUUGAGAAGAACAUCCAGGGCUCAGUCCCUUAGCGCUUUCUCCUGGCCGCUGUCCUGGCCUCCCGGCUGCUUCAAGUCGUGCGUGCAAAAAGUACUCCCGGGUGCAGAAGUCGGGCGAGGACAGUGAGAAGUCCACCUGAGCCACGGCCGUGCUCCACGCUGCAGCCAAAGACAGCUCCGUCCUUAUGCUGGAGAACUGACUGGAGGCGGAGCAGCCGUCCACACUGCAGGCUCGGGGGAGAUGAGGGGCGUAUUGAUUACCUCGAGAGGUCUCUGUCCCUCCUGAGGCCUGCCUCACUGGUGAUGGGACCUCAGCGGGCUGUACGGUGAGCUUGUUAAAGAGGUGCCAAAGACCCCAGACUCCUCUUUCUUCCCUGUCACUGAGCCCCACCUCUGCACUCCUUCAGGGCGUCCUCCUCACCGGGGUCAGCGGGAUUUGUUCAUGUUUUGAAUAAAAGAUCCGGGUCUAUGCAGCCACCGGGCACAGGGAAUCCCCCUGAGGAGAGGGGUCCUGGCCGGGACUGGGAGCUGAGUCCAAGUGCACUUUCUUUCCAACCUGGCGGGGGAGGAAGGUCGCAGUGGGUCCCCGGUGCCCUCGCUGCCACUUUGACUCUUUUCUGUUUUUUAUUUCUUUCAAAUGAAUCAUUUUGAAGAAAAAGAUCCAAAAGAAAUCUGAAAGUAUUUAAUCUAUCCAUGGAUUUAAAUGUAAUGUUCAUAUUUCAAUUUAAAAUCUUUAGGAUGUCCGGGUGUGGGGGUGCAUGCCUGUAAUCUCAGCACUCAGGGGGCUGAGGCAGGAGGGUCACUGCAAGUUCGAGGCUAGCCUGAACGAUAUAGCGAGCCCCUGUCUCAAAAAACCAAAACAGAAGUAAAUGAAUCUGGUUCACCAGAAGUACGAGGCUGUUUCACACACACAGCUGGAUGCUGCUGCCCGGGGCAUUUGCCUCCGGCUGGCACAGGCGGCAGCACCUGGUGCUGAGCACUCACACCAGGGACGAGAGAGCUGGCUGACCUCGGGGUGGGAUGCCUGGCUAGACCUCGGAAGGACCCGUGUGGGCUGCUUCCCUGCACACUGUUCCUCGCUGGCCACCCUGGGUGCUGCAGGCCGAGUGGAGUCGCAGGUUGAAGGUGUCCUGGCCAGUGGCUUCCCGGGCAGCCGCUGCAUGGGCGCCUUUCCCGGGUGGGGAGGCCGAAAGUGGACAACUGUUCCCGAAUGUCUGUCCAGAGAUGCCAAACAGAAGGUGGCUUUGAGGAUCUGGUCAGAUAGUACUGUCAGUUUCCUGCAUUACUCAGUGCGAUUGAAAUUUGUGGCUAAUUUCUGGCUUAAUGCCUUCACUCUGUGAACACUAAUUUCUAGGACUUGGGAGGUGAAAUUUCCCUAGAUUUAUCAUUACAAGCCUCUCAGCCUUGAUGACACAAGUUGACUUUUUUUUGCUUGCAAAAGGCACUAAACAGAUCUAUCCAGAAGGGUCAUUUUCCUUUGGUGCUAAAAUUCUGUCUGUCCCAAUGGCUCUUUCUCCACAUAAUAGAAGAAUCCCUCAAGGGAGGGUGGUUGAAUUCAAAGGCAGGAAGAAAAACUCUCCAAUCCGUUAUUUUAAACGAGAAAGAAACCUUCACCAUCUGUGGCUGACUUUGAAACCCAAGGAUUUUCCAAUGUUUUUAAAUAAAGCACUAAUCAACAUGUGUCUACCCUAGCUGGUAUGUUCAGGCCUAAUUCUAUAGAAUUUCCACCCCUGUGCAUUUACCCGAUGUUGACUCUUGUGGUAGAACAAGAUGUUCUGCUUGAAAACACUAAUUUCAGAUUCCUGUUGUCUGACUAAGGAAAUUCAUUGGACCUUGAAGCCCUGCGUCUGUAGCUCAAAACAAUCCACUGGACUUCAGGGUGUCCAGGUGACCCACUUUCCUGCCAUCGGGUGAGGGAAAGUGCUUAAGCUUUAAAGACCAUUGUGUAUUGAGGAUCAGACUCCCUCCAAAUGGGCAGCCUUGCACUGCAGCCAGCUCAUCCAGGGACAGGUAUAACCGUCUGCUCCUAAAGGGCCCGGGAACCCCGAGACCCUCCUGUGGGGCACAGCGGUCUGUGCCCCUGGUCUUGUGUCCUGGCUCUCUCUCACAGAUGCUGACGAAGAGGGUGGCGGGAUAAUAAAAGAGGAAAAUGUCCAGGUUUCAAGCAGAAGAAGAAAUGAGACUCAUUUACAUGUAGGAGAACAAACUUGAGAUUUAACCCCACGAGCCACUUUGGCAUGGAAAAAACCAAUUACAAUGUUGCCUUUGAAGCAGUAAAUUUUCAUGAUGCCUUUUCCUUGCCAAUUAAAAUACAGCUGUUACACGUGACCUAUGUUUUUGUAAUCUGUGCUCCUAGCGAAUCCUUUGAAAUGUCUGACACAUAAUGCUUAUAAAUUAAGCCACAUUUUUUUCCUGAACUCUUCCCAGUAGAAAUAAGUGCUCUCAGAUUCAAUUAUAUUUUAGCUCCUUCAUGAGAUUUAAGAAGAAAGUGUUCUUCUGCCAGUCCCGCCUGAAUUCAAUGUGAAUUUAUGGUUUAAUUUAGGGCGUCUUGGGAAACAGCCGUUGCUAUGGAAGGGAGCUUGGCGCUCCGGUUCUUGGGCGUGUUCUCAGAGCCCCCUUGUGGCAGGAUGUCACGCAGCUUGGGACACAAAUGCCACUUCGUAAAAUACGUGUUCAGGUUUCAAAAAGGCAUUUGUGUUUCUUUCCCUUUGUGUAUUCGCUUGAUUUGCCUGUGAUCCUGGGGAAGGAAUUAUUUUAAAGACAUUUUAAACCCUUCUCAAAGGGGAAAUGUUCUCGGAUGGUAGUGACUUGUGAUUCUGGCCUUUUAUCCGUUCGAUGAAGGAAAACGUGCCUACCGUGGUUACCUCUCAGGGUCUCAAUAAUUGAUGCCUCCUUAUGCCCACCGACACCUGUUUGCUGGGAAUCCCUGCCAGCUGUCUUUCUUACUUUUUUUUUUUUUAAUUUACAUGCUAGACGUCAUAGACUUUGUUUUUAAACCGAAAAUUCACAUCUUGUUCCUUGAAUAUGUUGAACAUUUCUUUUUUCUUUUGGCAUAAUUUUUGUUUUGUACUGUAAACUGAUUAAAGAUUUGAAGCUGGUCUUAACACCCUCACUUCUAUAGUGUAAAAGAGGUGUGAGGAGGAAUUUCUUAAUGAGUUUACAUGUUUAAAUCAAGCAGAUUAUAAUUUAUAUGCCACAUAUUCUGUUUGUAUAAAGAGCUGCUGGUAUUUUUGCUUUUAAUGUCAUUAUGUUGCAAUAAUUUAACUCCUUUGACUCCACUGGUAAAAAUAUUUCCUUUAUUAUGAAGUGCUCUUGUCUUCAAUAUCCAGACACUGAAAAUCGUGUCAAAUGUACCCAAAGAGGAGUUUUUAUACAGGUAGACACCUUAUAAGUCCAGGUUUGUUUUAUUAUUCAUUAAUCUAACUUUGUGUCCUAAGUGAAUCAUUAAGGAGAAGAGCACUUUACUAUGGAAUUAUUUUUAAUUGCCCUUUAGAAGAAGCUGUACACAUAAGCCAGUCUUGCUUCCAAGUUGGAACUCACUAUGUAAUUUACCUCCUCUGCGAUAAUGGAUCCAGAACAUACGGCUGGGGUACAGCAUAUUCACAAAAGAAAUAUUGUCACAAAGUUAGCGGGCCGGGGGCAAUUACUUUGUUUUGGAAACUUACUGUACUGUUUCAAUGUGUUAAGUGCCUUGUUAUGAAGUAAAAUUUUAAGUUUAGGAUUCAUUAUUUUCCUGACAUAUAUUUUCAUUAAGAUAUGUGCUGUAUGUUAUUGUAAUAGUUUUAUUAAAUGCUUACCUUUUAACCAAAUAUGUACAUUUCCGAAACUCCUUUCCUCCUGCCCACAGCACCUUGCAUUCAGGUUAUUGUUGUUAAAGGAAAUUACCCUUGUUUAGCACUAUAGUGUCCUUGCUUGUGCUUUUGCUUCUGGGAAGACAUUUCAGGAGGAAACUAGGGGUCUAACUAGUUUAUACUUUUGCAGUGCUGUCUUACAUUUACAUUUUAAGUGCCUAAAUGUUAAAACUAAUUUACAUUUCUAUUUGAAAGAGGAUAUGUGUACUUGGUUUUUAAUCUUUUUCGUUUUGCUUUUAAAAAAAACCAAACCUGCAAGAGCCUAUACUUUGUAUUUACCAAUAAACCACAGUGACACUAACAGCCUUUUCAAAACUGGUAGUACUGUUUCUUUUAUUUUUCAAAAGGUGGUCUUAAAUUUAUUUAGUUUCAGAGUACUUGUUAAAACCACAAGUUAUGUUCUUCAAGCACUUUUUUUCUGAGACAGGGCUUUGCUGUGUGCCCCAGGCUGGCCUUGAACUUGACAGGAUCCUCCUGCCUCAGCCUCCUGAGUGCUGGGAUGACAAGUGUGCACCACUGCGCCCGGCGCAUCAGUAUUUUUUUAAAAUAAGCUAGAUAACCUUUAACUCAUGGAACUGUAAGUCAACUGGAAUGGAUUAUUUUUUUCCUGCCCUUGUAUUUAAGGUGAAAAAUUAUUUUGAAACUAUAGAAGAUGGUUUGUGGAAAAAAUUCAUUACGCUACAAUUGUGGGUCUCCUUGGUCACAAGGGGACAAAGCCCCAGUUCUUAAAGGAGAGCUGGGUACCUGUCACUCAGUUUAGAGAAACCUGGCUCCUUUGCAGAGGCCCUGGGGCGCCGUCCUCAGCUGCUCUGGCCCGGGCUGAGUGACUCUAGACCUCCUGACAGGUGAGAUCCUGGCCCUGAGAGGGACUCAGCAGGACGUGGCCCAGGGGGCGGGGCUCCUGGGGCUUCUGGAGACGCCCUGGGUCUGCACUGGUUGCCGGGAAACAGCAAAGAUGGGGGAGUUCUGCAGCUGCCUCUGCCAGGGGUGGGGACAGCACGUUCGCCCCAGAGGUGGCCGUGGCCCUGGCCACACGGUGAGCUACUGGCUUGGCCUUGGGCUGCUCAGGCGGAAUCCACUAUACAAGAAACGUCCGCGUUCGGGACGGACAGGCGGAUUCGAGGCUGAGCUCCCGGGCCGCCUCGGAGACAGUGGGAGACGCCUGGGCAGCCCUGCAAGUGCCCGUGAGGACUAAGACGCUCAUUCUCUUUCUGAAGCCAACUCCAGGAAGGAAUGAACAGGCAACCUCACACAACGAAAGCCGUGCUCCAAAACGUAGAUUGUGGACAAGAUUCUGAGGGACUAGAAACCACUUUAAAAUGAAAAUAAGAGCCAGGGGUGGUGGUGCACACCUGUCAUUCCAGCUCUCGGGAGGCUGAGGCAGGAGGAUUGCCGUAAGUUCAAGGCCAGCCUGGAAUACAGAGCAAGACCCUAUCUCAAAAAAAAACAAAACAAAAUGAGAGAAAAGAUUGAUGCGCAAAAGCAGAAACAGGUGUUAACAGUUGUUCCGCUACACGAAAGAAGAAACCAAACACGCUGCCGGAGCUGCUUACAUGAAACUGCCCAGCUGGUGCAGCUCAGCGGUAGAUGCCCGCCUGGCAUGCAUGAGUUGCUAGGUUCCAUCCCGAGAAAUACAGAAACAAUUCUGCCCAAACUGAAAAAGAUAAACAAAUACGGAAAUGAGAACACAUUCUUAGUCAGUGGGUCAAAGAAAUCACAAAGGAAACUUGAAAAUAACUUUGGGACAAAUACAAUAAAACACAGCGUCCUAAACCCAUGGGGGGAUGGUGAGAACAUCAGAGUGAAAUUCGCAGCUGCAAACACGGACACUUAAAUAAGACGUCAAGUCAGUGGCCUGCCUGUUGUUCUUAAGGACUGUUGUCCUUCAUCUGAAAAAGAUCAAACAAAGCCCAAAGCCAGCAGAACGAGGAAACAAUAUAAACUACCACAGAGCAAUGAUAGAUGAAAUAGAGGAUCGAAAAAAAGCAGUGAAGUUUCACAUUGGCUCCUUGAGAAGAGGGACAGAAUUGUGACUAAGAAAUAAAGAAUGCUGCAGUUGCUGACACCUGGAGUCAAGUGCGUGCAUUGCACCGCUGUGCAGAGGUGAGGGCUGGCGCAUGGCCCUGGGUUCAAGCUCCAGCUCCUUGUAAUAGUAAAUACAACAAACAGAAAGGAUUACAAGAGAACAAUGAACAACCACGCACAAACUGGAUAACCUAGAUGAAAUGGACAAAGUCACAGAAACAUGAAACCUGCCAAUACCAAACCAUAAACAGAAAAUAUCUCUACUAAGAGUUUGAAUCAAUAAUGAAAAACUUCCCAGGAGAGAAAACACCAGAUGGUGACCUUGUUGGUGAAUUCUGCUAAACAUUUAAAGGAGGAUUAAUACCGGGUCUUCAAACUUUUCCAGCAAACCGAAGAGGAGGGACCCUGUCUACCUCAUGCUCUGGGCCCAGAAUUACCCUGUACCAAGGCCAGAGGCAGAGGGUGCAAAAACAUUUAAGACUGAACUCCCUUCUGAAUAUUAAUCCAAAACAGUCAACAAAAUCCUAAGAAACUGAACUCAGUAUUUAU
Molecule: long non-coding RNA, 7044 nt
Organism: Heterocephalus glaber (naked mole-rat)
Lineage: Eukaryota; Metazoa; Chordata; Mammalia; Rodentia; Bathyergidae
Source: Ensembl